Molecule: ribosomal RNA, 253 nt
Filed under: uncultured bacterium
Lineage: Bacteria
Description: partial 16S ribosomal RNA
Rfam family: Bacterial small subunit ribosomal RNA
Source: RNAcentral
UACAGAGGGGGCAAGCGUUGUUCGGAAUUACUGGGCGUAAAGGGCGCGUAGGCGGCCCGCUAAGUCGAACGUGAAAUCCCCGAGCUCAACUCGGGAACUGCGUCCGAUACUGGCGGGCUUGAAUCCGGGAGAGGGACGCGGAAUUCCAGGUGUAGCGGUGAAAUGCGUAGAUAUCUGGAGGAACACCGGUGGCGAAGGCGGCAUCCUGGACCGGCAUUGACGCUGAGGCGCGAAAGCUAGGGGAGCAAACGGG